Molecule: long non-coding RNA, 435 nt
Organism: Macrobrachium nipponense
Lineage: Eukaryota; Metazoa; Arthropoda; Malacostraca; Decapoda; Palaemonidae
Exons: 5
Source: RefSeq, a predicted model, not a curated record
UCUUGUGUCCGAAGUGUGUGCCUCGUACGUAGGUAGCAAAUUUGGCCGUCGCCCAUUUACUGUACAUAUCCAUUAGGUAGCAAAUUUGGCCGUCGCACUUGUCAUGGGUGGGGACCCAUUUACUGUACAUACAUAUCCAUUAGGUAGGUGGGUUGGGGCCCAUUUACUGUACAUAUCCAUUAGGUAGCAAAUUUGGCCGUCGCACUUGUCGUGGGUGGGGGCCCAUUUACUGUAUAUAUCCAUUAGGUAAGUUGCAUACCGCUAUAUAUUCUUGUUCUCUAUAGAAUUUGUGAUAUUCUGGUAGAUUUUCAUGCAUAAAUAUCAUAUCUUAUAGUAGUUACAGCCAUUUUUAUAAGAAAUUUUCAUGGUGAAAAUAGCAGGUAAAAAAGUGAACUUUAGAUUUGGCCCCUAAUAAAACAGCGAUCAUCAUCUUUG